Molecule: ribosomal RNA, 253 nt
Filed under: uncultured bacterium
Lineage: Bacteria
Description: partial 16S ribosomal RNA
Rfam family: Bacterial small subunit ribosomal RNA
Source: RNAcentral
UACGGGGGGGGCAAGCGUUGUUCGGAAUUACUGGGCGUAAAGGGCUCGUAGGCGGCCAACUAAGUCAGACGUGAAAUCCCUCGGCUUAACCGGGGAACUGCAUCUGAUACUGGAUGGCUUGAGUUCGGGAGAGGGAUGCGGAAUUCCAGGUGUAGCGGUGAAAUGCGUAGAUAUCUGGAGGAACACCGGUGGCGAAGGCGGGUCUCUGGGCCGAUACUGACGCUGAGACGCGAAAGCGUGGGGAGCAAACAGG